UGGGGAAUUUUGGACAAUGGGCGAAAGCCUGAUCCAGCAAUGCCGCGUGUGUGAAGAAGGCCUUCGGGUUGUAAAGCACUUUUGUCCGGAAAGAAAUCCUUGGCUCUAAUACAGUCGGGGGAUGACGGUACCGGAAGAAUAAGCACCGGCUAACUACGUGCCAGCAGCCGCGGUAAUACGUAGGGUGCAAGCGUUAAUCGGAAUUACUGGGCGUAAAGCGUGCGCAGGCGGUUUGCUAAGACCGAUGUGAAAUCCCCGGGCUCAACCUGGAAACUGCAUUGGUGACUGGCAGGCUAGAGUAUGGCAGAGGGGGGUAGAAUUCCACGUGUAGCAGUGAAAUGCGUAGAGAUGUGGAGGAAUACCGAUGGCGAAGGCAGCCCCCUGGGCCAAAUACUGACGCUCAUGCACGAAAGCGUGGGGAGCAAACAGGAUUAGAUACCCUGGUAGUCCACGCCCUAAACGAUGUCAACUAGUUGUUGGGGAUUCAUUUCCUUAGUAACGUAGCUAACGCGUGAAGUUGACCGCCUGGGGAGUACGGUCGCAAGAUUAAAACUCAAAGGAAUUGACGGGGUCAUAGCUGUUUCCU
RNAcentral lists this ribosomal RNA (586 nucleotides) under uncultured bacterium. RNAcentral's name for it is "partial 16S ribosomal RNA". It matches the Rfam family "Bacterial small subunit ribosomal RNA", at positions 355 to 1375 of the family's 1533-position model. The record is from RNAcentral.